UUCUUAUCCAGAGUGGUGGAGGGACUGGCCCGUUGAAACCCGGCAACCGCAAACGUAAUGUUUGAAGGUGCUAAAUCCUGCAAAGCCAUAAGCUUUGAAAGAUGAGAU
Molecule: non-coding RNA, 108 nt
Filed under: Shouchella lehensis G1
Lineage: Bacteria; Bacillati; Bacillota; Bacilli; Caryophanales; Bacillaceae
Description: Bacillus lehensis G1 SAM riboswitch aptamer (S box leader)
Rfam family: SAM riboswitch aptamer (S box leader)
About the family: The SAM riboswitch is found upstream of a number of genes which code for proteins involved in methionine or cysteine biosynthesis in Gram-positive bacteria. The SAM riboswitch acts at the level of transcription termination control.
Source: Rfam by way of RNAcentral